RNAcentral lists this long non-coding RNA (1259 nucleotides) under Struthio camelus australis. RNAcentral's name for it is "lncRNA (ENSSCUG00000013985.1)". Lineage: Eukaryota; Metazoa; Chordata; Aves; Struthioniformes; Struthionidae. The record is from RNAcentral.
UCAUGUGUAAAGAUCCCAGCUGUCCUCCGCAACGCCAUCAUUCGUAUCCUGCUCAGCCCGGAUGUGACCAUCAGCUCCCACCGCUGCCACUACCGGUUCGAGUGCAGGAGCAAGGGGAACGAGCUGCUGAUGGUCGUGGGGCCUUCCAAUAUCUGUGCCUGAAAUGCCAACUGCUUGCCUCAGCUAGAGCACCCACUGUGGAAGCUGAAUGGUGGCAGCUGGCACAUACCAACAGUGAAUGGUGACCUGCUAUGGCUCGCUCACUUCAACACUGGGUCUGGAUGCUGCUCAUUUCUGAAAAGAAGAAAGAGUCCCAUACCAACUCCCUAUGUUCAGGCAAGUUUCAUAAAUCAUGCGGACAGUCUUGUUUCAGAUGAAUGGAUGGAUAGAGCUUUCAUCCCUUUCUUUGCAUGACCCUUAUGCUGCUAUUCAUAAACAGCACAAAGGGUGUUUUAACCUGGGAGCAAACCAGGUUCUCGUUUGUUUAGUUUGCUCUCCUUCUGAGUCAUCCCAUUUGGCACAUGCAAAAUCAGUCUAAGCAGCCUGCAGAAUCUCCUACCGGGGCUGUGCUCUCCGUAACAGAGCACCUCCGGCAUGACACAUCACCAAGCCAUAUGGAAGAGCAUUGCAUUGCAAGGCAGCAUACGUCAUCACACCUUCAGGUGACACUGUGGACAGAAGAGCCAGGCCUCAAGAGUGCUGCGUGGCCACGCAUUGCAACACAGCGGCGUUGCUUCCAAGAUGUAUGAGUUCAUGCCAGUCCUAGGUAUAAGGCUCUUAUCUUCAGGUUAAAUUACUAACCAGCUGAACGAUGCUGUGGCAGGCUCUCUGCCUUCAGUGGAGACUCCGUUCAGAGAAAUCCAAAGAGUGGAGAAAGCAUCAAACAAUGAAGUGAUGCUGCGGACAAACUGUGCGGAGCGUGCAAUCUUCCUGCAAUAUUCCGAGACAGAUNNNNNNNNNNNNNNNNNNNNNNNNNNNNNNNNNNNNNNNNNNNNCCUCUGGGACAUCAAGUGAGGCUAAGACAACAGUCCAGAGCUUUGCUAGCAAAUCAUGAGUCCCGAGUGUCUCUCCAGCUGGCAGGACCAUCACUGACCUAAAUGGCCUUGUCCUCCCUGACGCAGCUCUGCUAAUUUGGCCACAAUCCACUUAAUAAUGUAGCUAGAGUAUAAAGAUAUAUCCAGGCCCAACCACAAAACAGCUGGAGACUAUAGGGUUGACUUAAUCCUGGUAGAAUAAAACAGGGAAACUGGUGGGAGUCA